This 520-nucleotide ribosomal RNA is filed under the name uncultured bacterium. RNAcentral's name for it is "bacterial SSU rRNA". It matches the Rfam family "Bacterial small subunit ribosomal RNA", at positions 120 to 674 of the family's 1533-position model. The record is from RNAcentral.
GGGAACGUACCUUUUGGUUCGGAACAACACAGGGAAACUUGUGCUAAUACCGGAUAAGCCCUUACGGGGAAAGAUUUAUCGCCGAAAGAUCGGCCCGCGUCUGAUUAGCUAGUUGGUAGGGUAACGGCCUACCAAGGCGACGAUCAGUAGCUGGUCUGAGAGGAUGAUCAGCCCCAUUGGGACUGAGACACGGCCCAAACUCCUACGGGAGGCAGCAGUGGGGAAUAUUGGACAAUGGGGGCAACCCUGAUCCAGCCAUGCCGCGUGAGUGAUGAAGGCCCUAGGGUUGUAAAGCUCUUUUGUGCGGGAAGAUAAUGACGGUACCGCAAGAAUAAGCCCCGGCUAACUUCGUGCCAGCAGCCGCGGUAAUACGAAGGGGGCUAGCGUUGCUCGGAAUCACUGGGCGUAAAGGGUGCGUAGGCGGGUUUUUAAGUCAGAGGUGAAAUCCUGGAGCUCAACUCCAGAACUGCCUUUGAUACUGGGAAUCUUGAGUAUGGAAGAGGUGAGUGGAACUGCGAGU